GUCGGUGGCCCCCGUGUGGCCCCUGUGUGGUCAGUGGCCCCCGUGUGGCGUUGGGUUGCAGACGUAUUGCCCUGUUGAUGACUCAUCACCAGGUGGAGUUAAGGACCCAGACUCAGCCGUUUGGACAGUUCUAAUGAACCUGGUUUGAUAUGCAUGUUACUAAAGAGUUGGACCAUGUACUGAG
Molecule: long non-coding RNA, 184 nt
Organism: Gadus macrocephalus (Pacific cod)
Lineage: Eukaryota; Metazoa; Chordata; Actinopteri; Gadiformes; Gadidae
Exons: 2
Source: RefSeq, a predicted model, not a curated record